This 484-nucleotide ribosomal RNA is filed under the name uncultured bacterium. RNAcentral describes it as "partial 16S ribosomal RNA". It matches the Rfam family "Bacterial small subunit ribosomal RNA", at positions 28 to 507 of the family's 1533-position model. The record is from RNAcentral.
AUUGAACGCUGGCGGCAUGCUUUACACAUGCCAGUCGAACGGCAGCGCGGGCUUCGGCCUGGCGGCGAGUGGCGAACGGGUGAGUAAUGCAUCGGAACGUGCCCAGUAGUGGGGGAUAGCCCGGCGAAAGCCGGAUUAAUACCGCAUACGACCUGAGGGUGAAAGCGGGGGACCGAAAGGCCUCGCGCUAUUGGAGCGGCCGAUGUCGGAUUAGCUAGUUGGUGGGGUAAAGGCUUACCAAGGCGACGAUCCGUAGCUGGUCUGAGAGGACGACCAGCCACACUGGGACUGAGACACGGCCCAGACCCCUACGGGAGGCAGCAGUGGGGAAUUUUGGACAAUGGGGGCAACCCUGAUCCAGCCAUGCCGCGUGCGGGAAGAAGGCCUUCGGGUUGUAAACCGCUUUUGUUCGGGAAGAAAUCCUCUGGGCUAAUACCCCGGGGGGAUGACGGUACCGGAAGAAUAAGCACCGGCUAACUACGUG